RNAcentral lists this long non-coding RNA (1346 nucleotides) under Macaca fascicularis (crab-eating macaque). RNAcentral's name for it is "lncRNA (ENSMFAG00000059497.1)". The record is from RNAcentral. Lineage: Eukaryota; Metazoa; Chordata; Mammalia; Primates; Cercopithecidae.
CAGACCAAUAGAAUGUGUGUGUCUGUCUGUGUGUUUAUAAAGAGAUUAAUUACAAGAAAUUGGCUCACCUAAUUACAGAGUCUGAGAAGUCCAAACUCAGGAGAGCUGAUGGUUUAAGUUCCAGUCUGGGUCCAAGUCUGGAUGCAGGAGAAGACUCAUGUCCCAGUUUGGAGACAACCACACAGAGAGAAAGAAUGUUUUCUUACACAACCUUUUGUUCUAUUCAGGCCUUCAGUGGAUUGGAUGAGGCCCAUCCACAUAGGAGAGGGCAGCCUGACCCACCGUUAUUUCCAUCAUUUAUCAAAGAUAAUCUCUCUCCUUUUUUUUUUUUAAAGAGAUGGGAUCUCACUAUGUUGCCCAGGCUGGUCUCAAGCUCCUGGGCUCAGGGGAUCCUCUCACCUCAGCCUUCCGAGUAGCUGGGAUUACAGGUGCAUACCACUGUGCCUGGCUGAGGAGUUCAUCCUUUCUUUCCUCGUUGCCAUACAGGUGGCUGUGGUCAAAAAUCAGUUGACUGUAUGUAUCUGUACGUGCUUUUCCAUUGGUCAGUUUGUCUGUCCUCAUGCCAAUACUGAUGCAGGGCAGGUGAGCCCCAGAUAUGGGCUUAGCCCAGGAAAGUUCUUUGCUUUGCCCAGGAAAGAAUUCAAGGGCGAGCCAAAGGUAGAAGAAAACAGCUUUACUGAAGCAGCAGUGUUACAGGAUCUCAUAUGGAGUAGUCUUGGAACAGAGCAUCACUUAACUCAUAAGACAAUCCCAUAGUCAUGGCCAGUAUUACUGAAGAACAGUCGAAAAUGAAGAUGAGAAAACCUUAAUAUUGUAAAUAAGUUAACAGGAAAAUAGAACUUGACUUGCCACAAGAAAGAGUCUUGCAUAGAGAGUCCAGGUAUUUAUCAAUUUCAUAAACUGGAAUUGGGGUCAAAAUGGAUGGGGUAGAUUUGUGUUCUCCUGGACCUUGUCCAUUCUCUGUGUGGACAGGGAGGUGAUGUCACGGAGGGUGACAGUAUUUUAAGGACUGGUUAAAAAUGACUUAACAUUUAGGCCGGGCGCAGUGGCUCACGCCUGUGAUCCCAGCACUUUGGGAGGCCAAGGGCGGGCAGAUUACCUGAGGUCGGGAGUUUGAGACCAGCCUGACCAACAGGGAGAAACCCCGUCUCUACUAAAAAUACAAAAAGUAGCCAGGCAUGGUGGCACAUGCCUGUAAUCCCAGCUACUUGGGAGGCCGAGGGAGGAAAAUCGCUUGAACCUGGGAGGCAGAGGUUGCAGUGAGCCAAGAUCGUGCCAUUACGCUCCAGGCUGGGCAACAAGAGCGAGGCUCCAUCCCCGCCCCCCAACCAAAAAAAAAAAAAAAA